This 493-nucleotide unclassified non-coding RNA is filed under the name Hevea brasiliensis (rubber tree). The record is from RNAcentral. Lineage: Eukaryota; Viridiplantae; Streptophyta; Magnoliopsida; Malpighiales; Euphorbiaceae.
GUCGCCGUCCGAUCUACCCCGGUGACCGACGUGCGUCGGCGUCGACCGUAUGUCAGUAUUUCCAGACGGUAAACAAUUGUAAAUAUGAAUAUUAUGUAUAAUCACAUUGCUAAUAUACUGCAACGUUAUACAUCCGUUACCGGUGAUGUGAACUUUCGCUCCCCGGCCGUCGAUUGUUUUGUAACUGUUAACGAUGAGUUCGUGUUUCAAUUCAAUGAACAUAUCGCCGGAGAAGAUGAUCCAGAGUGGUUCUUCCUGGAUUACAGCGUGCCGGAGUGUUCCCUGAGUUGGAUUUACGGUGUCGAGAUCUGAGGAAUCGGAAACGACGUAGUAUUUGCCGUUUUUACCUCCGAUUGCGUUCUGGCCGAAACCUAUAGCGCAAUCGGCUAAACGCUGCCGGUUUUUCGACCAAUUUGGAUCGCAGCGCCAGCAAUCGUCGAUUGGAUUUCCGGUUUCACAUUGAGUAGUUAUGGCAUUCAUGGUGGUGUUCCAU